GACGAACCGUGCGAACGUUGUUCGGAUUCACUGGGCUUAAAGGGCGCGUAGGCGGGCCACCAAGUCAGGGGUGAAAUCUUUCGGCUCAACCGGAAAAGUGCCUUUGAUACUGGUGGUCUCGAGGGAGGUAGGGGCAUGCGGAACUUCCGGUGGAGCGGUGAAAUGCGUAGAUAUCGGAAGGAACGCCGGUGGCGAAAGCGGCGUGCUGGACCUCUUCUGACGCUGAGGCGCGAAAGCUAGGGGAGCAAACGGG
RNAcentral lists this ribosomal RNA (253 nucleotides) under uncultured bacterium. RNAcentral describes it as "partial 16S ribosomal RNA". It matches the Rfam family "Bacterial small subunit ribosomal RNA", at positions 524 to 776 of the family's 1533-position model. The record is from RNAcentral.